CCUACGGGGUGCAGCAGUGGGGAAUAUUGGACAAUGGGCGAAAGCCUGAUCCAGCCAUGCCGCGUGUGUGAAGAAGGCCUUCGGGUUGUAAAGCACUUUCAGUGGGGAAGAAAGCCUUGGGGCUAAUACCCUCGAGGAAGGACAUCACCCACAGAAGAAGCACCGGCUAACUCCGUGCCAGCAGCCGCGGUAAUACGGAGGGUGCGAGCGUUAAUCGGAAUUACUGGGCGUAAAGCGCGCGUAGGCGGUCUGAUAAGCCGGUUGUGAAAGCCCCGGGCUCAACCUGGGAACGGCAUCCGGAACUGGCAGGCUAGAGUGCAGGAGAGGAAGGUAGAAUUCCCGGUGUAGCGGUGAAAUGCGUAGAGAUCGGGAGGAAUACCAGUGGCGAAGGCGGCCUUCUGGACUGACACUGACGCUGAGGUGCGAAAGCGUGGGUAGCAAACAGGAUUAGAUACCCGUGUAGUC
Molecule: ribosomal RNA, 465 nt
Filed under: Vreelandella stevensii
Lineage: Bacteria; Pseudomonadati; Pseudomonadota; Gammaproteobacteria; Oceanospirillales; Halomonadaceae
Description: partial 16S ribosomal RNA
Rfam family: Bacterial small subunit ribosomal RNA
Source: RNAcentral